GACGAACGCUGGCGGCGUGCUUAACACAUGCAAGUCGAACGGAAAGGCCCCUUUGGGGGUCCUCGAGGGGCGAACGGUGGCGUAACACGUGGGUAACCUUCCCUUUACUUUUUGUUAACGUCGGGAAACUGGGGCUAAUUCCGCUAAGGAAUCCUUCCUCCUUGGGGGGGGUUGGAAAGCUUUUGCGGUUUUGGGUGGAUUCGCGGGUUAUUAGCUGGUUGGUGGGGUAGUGGGUUAACAAGGCUUUGAGGGGAAGCCGGACUGAGAGGGUGAGCGGCCGCACUGGGACUUAGAGGAGGCCCAGACUCCGACGGGAGGCAGAAGGGGGGAAGAUUGCACAAGGGGCGGCAGCCGGAUGCAGCAAGGCCGCGGGUGGGAUGACGGCCUUCGGGUUGAAAACCGCUUUCAGCAGGGGCGAAGCUUGUGGUGACGGUACCUGAAGAAGAAGCACCGGCUAACUACGUG
RNAcentral lists this ribosomal RNA (465 nucleotides) under uncultured bacterium. RNAcentral describes it as "partial 16S ribosomal RNA". It matches the Rfam family "Bacterial small subunit ribosomal RNA", at positions 28 to 507 of the family's 1533-position model. The record is from RNAcentral.